GGGGCUGUAGCUCAGCUGGUUAGAGCACCGUGUUGAUAACGCGGGGGUCGUUGGUUCGAGAGUCCAACCAGCCCUACCA
This 79-nucleotide transfer RNA is filed under the name Massilia sp. B-10. RNAcentral's name for it is "tRNA-Ile". It matches the Rfam family "tRNA". From Rfam's summary of the family: Transfer RNA (tRNA) molecules are approximately 80 nucleotides in length. Their secondary structure includes four short double-helical elements and three loops (D, anti-codon, and T loops). Further hydrogen bonds mediate the characteristic L-shaped molecular structure. tRNAs have two regions of fundamental functional importance: the anti-codon, which is responsible for specific mRNA codon recognition, and the 3' end, to which the tRNAs corresponding amino acid is attached (by aminoacyl-tRNA synthetases). tRNAs cope with the degeneracy of the genetic code in two manners: having more than one tRNA (with a specific anti-codon) for a particular amino acid; and 'wobble' base-pairing, i.e. permitting non-standard base-pairing at the 3rd anti-codon position. Lineage: Bacteria; Pseudomonadati; Pseudomonadota; Betaproteobacteria; Burkholderiales; Oxalobacteraceae. The record is from RNAcentral.